This 1000-nucleotide ribosomal RNA is filed under the name Curtobacterium sp. RNAcentral's name for it is "bacterial SSU rRNA". It matches the Rfam family "Bacterial small subunit ribosomal RNA", at positions 505 to 1502 of the family's 1533-position model. The record is from RNAcentral. Lineage: Bacteria; Bacillati; Actinomycetota; Actinomycetes; Micrococcales; Microbacteriaceae.
GUGCCAGCCGCCGCGGUAAUACGUAGGGUGCAAGCGUUGUCCGGAAUUAUUGGGCGUAAAGAGCUCGUAGGCGGUUUGUCGCGUCUGCUGUGAAAUCCCGAGGCUCAACCUCGGGCUUGCAGUGGGUACGGGCAGACUAGAGUGCGGUAGGGGAGAUUGGAAUUCCUGGUGUAGCGGUGGAAUGCGCAGAUAUCAGGAGGAACACCGAUGGCGAAGGCAGAUCUCUGGGCCGUAACUGACGCUGAGGAGCGAAAGCAUGGGGAGCGAACAGGAUUAGAUACCCUGGUAGUCCAUGCCGUAAACGUUGGGCGCUAGAUGUAGGGACCUUUCCACGGUUUCUGUGUCGUAGCUAACGCAUUAAGCGCCCCGCCUGGGGAGUACGGCCGCAAGGCUAAAACUCAAAGGAAUUGACGGGGGCCCGCACAAGCGGCGGAGCAUGCGGAUUAAUUCGAUGCAACGCGAAGAACCUUACCAAGGCUUGACAUACACCGGAAACGGCCAGAGAUGGUCGCCCCCUUGUGGUCGGUGUACAGGUGGUGCAUGGUUGUCGUCAGCUCGUGUCGUGAGAUGUUGGGUUAAGUCCCGCAACGAGCGCAACCCUCGUUCUAUGUUGCCAGCGGGUUAUGCCGGGGACUCAUAGGAGACUGCCGGGGUCAACUCGGAGGAAGGUGGGGAUGACGUCAAAUCAUCAUGCCCCUUAUGUCUUGGGCUUCACGCAUGCUACAAUGGCCGGUACAAAGGGCUGCGAUACCGUAAGGUGGAGCGAAUCCCAAAAAGCCGGUCUCAGUUCGGAUUGAGGUCUGCAACUCGACCUCAUGAAGUCGGAGUCGCUAGUAAUCGCAGAUCAGCAACGCUGCGGUGAAUACGUUCCCGGGCCUUGUACACACCGCCCGUCAAGUCAUGAAAGUCGGUAACACCCGAAGCCGGUGGCCUAACCCUUGUGGAAGGAGCCGUCGAAGGUGGGAUCGGUGAUUAGGACUAAGUCGUAACAAGGUAACCC